Molecule: transfer RNA, 75 nt
Filed under: Mycoplasmataceae bacterium
Lineage: Bacteria; Bacillati; Mycoplasmatota; Mollicutes; Mycoplasmatales; Mycoplasmataceae
Description: tRNA-Gln
Rfam family: tRNA
About the family: Transfer RNA (tRNA) molecules are approximately 80 nucleotides in length. Their secondary structure includes four short double-helical elements and three loops (D, anti-codon, and T loops). Further hydrogen bonds mediate the characteristic L-shaped molecular structure. tRNAs have two regions of fundamental functional importance: the anti-codon, which is responsible for specific mRNA codon recognition, and the 3' end, to which the tRNAs corresponding amino acid is attached (by aminoacyl-tRNA synthetases). tRNAs cope with the degeneracy of the genetic code in two manners: having more than one tRNA (with a specific anti-codon) for a particular amino acid; and 'wobble' base-pairing, i.e. permitting non-standard base-pairing at the 3rd anti-codon position.
Source: RNAcentral
UGGGGUGUAGCCAAGCGGAAAGGCACAAGAUUCUGAAUCUUGCAUGCGGUGGUUCGAUCCCACCCACCCCAGCCA